GGUUAAGCGACUAAGCGUACACGGUGGAUGCCCUGGCAGUCAGAGGCGAUGAAGGGCGUGCUAAUCUGCGAUAAGCGCCGGUAAGGUGAUAUGAACCGUUAUAACCGGCGAUACCCGAAUGGGGAAACCCAGUGUGACUCGUCACACUAUCAUUAACUGAAUCCAUAGGUUAAUGAGGCGAACCGGGGGAACUGAAACAUCUAAGUACCCCGAGGAAAAGAAAUCAACCGAGAUUCCCCCAGUAGCGGCGAGCGAACGGGGAGGAGCCCAGAGCCUGAAUCAGCAUGUGUGUUAGUGGAAGCGUCUGGAAAGGCGCGCGAUACAGGGUGACAGCCCCGUACACAAAAGCGCAUGUGCUGUGAGCUCGAUGAGUAGGGCGGGACACGUGGUAUCCUGUCUGAAUAUGGGGGGACCAUCCUCCAAGGCUAAAUACUCCUGACUGACCGAUAGUGAACCAGUACCGUGAGGGAAAGGCGAAAAGAACCCCGGCGAGGGGAGUGAAAAAGAACCUGAAACCGUGUACGUACAAGCAGUGGGAGCACCCUUUGGGUGUGACUGCGUACCUUUUGUAUAAUGGGUCAGCGACUUAUAUUCUGUAGCAAGGUUAACCGAAUAGGGGAGCCGGAGGGAAACCGAGUCUUAACCGGGCGUUAAGUUGCAGGGUAUAGACCCGAAACCCGGUGAUCUAGCCAUGGGCAGGUUGAAGGUUGGGUAACACUAACUGGAGGACCGAACCGACUAAUGUUGAAAAAUUAGCGGAUGACCUGUGGCUGGGGGUGAAAGGCCAAUCAAACCGGGAGAUAGCUGGUUCUCCCCGAAAGCUAUUUAGGUAGCGCCUCGUGAAUUCAUCUCCGGGGGUAGAGCACUGUUUCGGCUAGGGGGCCAUCCCGGCUUACCAACCCGAUGCAAACUGCGAAUACCGGAGAAUGUUAUCACGGGAGACACACGGCGGGUGCUAACGUCCGUCGUGAAGAGGGAAACAACCCAGACCGCCAGCUAAGGUCCCAAAGUCAUGGUUAAGUGGGAAACGAUGUGGGAAGGCCCAGACAGCCAGGAUGUUGGCUUAGAAGCAGCCAUCAUUUAAAGAAAGCGUAAUAGCUCACUGGUCGAGUCGGCCUGCGCGGAAGAUGUAACGGGGCUAAACCAUGCACCGAAGCUGCGGCAGCGACACUGUGUGUUGUUGGGUAGGGGAGCGUUCUGUAAGCCUGCGAAGGUGGCCUGUGAGGGUUGCUGGAGGUAUCAGAAGUGCGAAUGCUGACAUAAGUAACGAUAAAGCGGGUGAAAAGCCCGCUCGCCGGAAGACCAAGGGUUCCUGUCCAACGUUAAUCGGGGCAGGGUGAGUCGACCCCUAAGGCGAGGCCGAAAGGCGUAGUCGAUGGGAAACGGGUUAAUAUUCCCGUACUUGGUGUUACUGCGAAGGGGGACGGAGAAGGCUAUGUUGGCCGGGCGACGGUUGUCCCGGUUUAAGCGUGUAGGUGUGUGUUCCAGGUAAAUCCGGUUCACUUUAACACUGAGGCGUGACGACGAGGCACUACGGUGCUGAAGCAACAAAUGCCCUGCUUCCAGGAAAAGCCUCUAAGCAUCAGGUAACAUCAAAUCGUACCCCAAACCGACACAGGUGGUCAGGUAGAGAAUACCAAGGCGCUUGAGAGAACUCGGGUGAAGGAACUAGGCAAAAUGGUGCCGUAACUUCGGGAGAAGGCACGCUGACACGUAGGUGAAGUGAUUUACUCAUGGAGCUGAAGUCAGUCGAAGAUACCAGCUGGCUGCAACUGUUUAUUAAAAACACAGCACUGUGCAAACACGAAAGUGGACGUAUACGGUGUGACGCCUGCCCGGUGCCGGAAGGUUAAUUGAUGGGGUCAGCGCAAGCGAAGCUCCUGAUCGAAGCCCCGGUAAACGGCGGCCGUAACUAUAACGGUCCUAAGGUAGCGAAAUUCCUUGUCGGGUAAGUUCCGACCUGCACGAAUGGCGUAAUGAUGGCCAGGCUGUCUCCACCCGAGACUCAGUGAAAUUGAACUCGCUGUGAAGAUGCAGUGUACCCGCGGCAAGACGGAAAGACCCCGUGAACCUUUACUAUAGCUUGACACUGAACAUUGAGCCUUGAUGUGUAGGAUAGGUGGGAGGCUUUGAAGUGUGGACGCCAGUCUGCAUGGAGCCGACCUUGAAAUACCACCCUUUAAUGUUUGAUGUUCUAACGUGGACCCGUUACCCGGGUUGCGGACAGUGUCUGGUGGGUAGUUUGACUGGGGCGGUCUCCUCCUAAAGAGUAACGGAGGAGCACGAAGGUUGGCUAAUCCUGGUCGGACAUCAGGAGGUUAGUGCAAUGGCAUAAGCCAGCUUGACUGCGAGCGUGACGGCGCGAGCAGGUGCGAAAGCAGGUCAUAGUGAUCCGGUGGUUCUGAAUGGAAGGGCCAUCGCUCAACGGAUAAAAGGUACUCCGGGGAUAACAGGCUGAUACCGCCCAAGAGUUCAUAUCGACGGCGGUGUUUGGCACCUCGAUGUCGGCUCAUCACAUCCUGGGGCUGAAGUAGGUCCCAAGGGUAUGGCUGUUCGCCAUUUAAAGUGGUACGCGAGCUGGGUUUAGAACGUCGUGAGACAGUUCGGUCCCUAUCUGCCGUGGGCGCUGGAGAACUGAGGGGGGCUGCUCCUAGUACGAGAGGACCGGAGUGGACGCAUCACUGGUGUUCGGGUUGUCAUGCCAAUGGCACUGCCCGGUAGCUAAAUGCGGAAGAGAUAAGUGCUGAAAGCAUCUAAGCACGAAACUUGCCCCGAGAUGAGUUCUCCCUGAGACUUAGAGUCUCCUGAAGGAACGUUGAAGACGACGACGUUGAUAGGCCGGGUGUGUAAGCGCAGCGAUGCGUUGAGCUAACCGGUACUAAUGAACCGUGAGGCUUAACCUU
Molecule: ribosomal RNA, 2903 nt
Filed under: Salmonella enterica subsp. enterica serovar Enteritidis
Lineage: Bacteria; Pseudomonadati; Pseudomonadota; Gammaproteobacteria; Enterobacterales; Enterobacteriaceae
Description: 23S ribosomal RNA
Rfam family: Bacterial large subunit ribosomal RNA
Source: RNAcentral